GAUACACAGAGAGAGAGAAAGAGAUAAAGAGAGAGAGAGAUACAGAAAGAGAGAGAGAGCGAUACAGAGGAGAGCGAUACAGAAAGAGAGAGAUACACAGAGAGAGAUACACACAGAGAGAGAUACAGAGAGAGAGAUACAAGAAGAGAGAGAUACACAGAGAGAGAGAUACACAGAGAGAGAGAGAGAGAGAUACAGAGAGAGAGAGCGGUACACAGAGCGAGAGGUACACAGAGAGAGAUACAGAGAGAGAUAAACAGAGAGAGAGAUAUACAGAGAGAUACAGAGAGAAAGAGAGAUACAGAGAGAGAGUUACAGAGAGAGAGAUACAGAGAGCGAGAGCUAUACAGAGAGCAAGAGAAAUACACAGAGAGAGAGAUACACAGAGACAGAGAGUUACAGAGAGAGAGAGAUACACACAGAGAGAGAUACAGAGAGAGAGAGAGAGAGAGAGAUACAGAGAGAGAGAUACAGAGAGAGAGAGUUACACAGAGAGAGAGAUACACAGAGAGAGAGAUAGAGAAACACAGAGAGAGAGAUACAGAGAGAAAGAGAGAUACAGAGAGAGAGAGAUAGAGAAACACAGAGAGAGAGAUACAGAGAGAAAGAGAGAUACACAGAGAGAGAGAGAUACACACAGAGAGAGAUACAGAGAGAGAGAGAGAGAUACAGAGAGUUUCUGUUAGGUUUUUAUUGUUUUAUUUUUC
This 707-nucleotide long non-coding RNA is filed under the name Salmo salar (Atlantic salmon). RNAcentral's name for it is "lncRNA (ENSSSAG00000084972.1, ENSSSAG00000087038.1)". Lineage: Eukaryota; Metazoa; Chordata; Actinopteri; Salmoniformes; Salmonidae. The record is from RNAcentral.